This 500-nucleotide ribosomal RNA is filed under the name uncultured bacterium. Its description in RNAcentral is "partial 16S ribosomal RNA". It matches the Rfam family "Bacterial small subunit ribosomal RNA", at positions 30 to 523 of the family's 1533-position model. The record is from RNAcentral.
AUUGAACGCUGGCGGAAUGCUUUACACAUGCAAGUCGAACGGCAGCACGGACUUCGGUCUGGUGGCGAGUGGCGAACGGGUGAGUAAUGUAUCGGAACGUGCCCAGUCGUGGGGGAUAACGUAGUGAAAAUUACGCUAAUACCACAUACGAUCUAUGGAUGAAAGCGGGGGAUCGCAAGACCUCGCGCGAUCGGAGCGGCCGAUAUCAGAUUAGGUAGUUGGUGGGGUAAAGGCCCACCAAGCCAACGAUCUGUAGCUGGACUGAGAGGACGACCAGCCACACUGGAACUGAGACACGGUCCAGACUCCUACGGGAGGCAGCAGUGGGGAAUUUUGGACAAUGGGCGAAAGCCUGAUCCAGCCAUUCCGCGUGCAGGAUGAAGGCCCUCGGGUUGUAAACUGCUUUUGUACAGAACGAAAAGGUUUCUACUAAUACUAGGAGCUCAUGACGGUACUGUAAGAAUAAGCACCGGCUAACUACGUGCCAGCCGCCGCCGUAA